This 1436-nucleotide ribosomal RNA is filed under the name uncultured organism. RNAcentral describes it as "SSU rRNA". It matches the Rfam family "Bacterial small subunit ribosomal RNA". The record is from RNAcentral.
UAACACAUGCAAGUCGAGGGGCAGCAUGGUUUUAGCUUGCUAAGGCCGAUGGCGACCGGCGCACGGGUGAGUAACACGUAUCCAACCUGCCGUCUACUCUUGGACAGCCUUCUGAAAGGAAGAUUAAUACAAGAUGGCAUCAUGAGUCCGCAUGUUCACAUGAUUAAAGGUAUUCCGGUAGACGAUGGGGAUGCGUUCCAUUAGAUAGUAGGCGGGGUAACGGCCCACCUAGUCUUCGAUGGAUAGGGGUUCUGAGAGGAAGGUCCCCCACAUUGGAACUGAGACACGGUCCAAACUCCUACGGGAGGCAGCAGUGAGGAAUAUUGGUCAAUGGGCGAGAGCCUGAACCAGCCAAGUAGCGUGAAGGAUGACUGCCCUAUGGGUUGUAAACUUCUUUUAUAAAGGAAUAAAGUCGGGUAUGGAUACCCGUUUGCAUGUACUUUAUGAAUAAGGAUCGGCUAACUCCGUGCCAGCAGCCGCGGUAAUACGGAGGAUCCGAGCGUUAUCCGGAUUUAUUGGGUUUAAAGGGAGCGUAGAUGGAUGUUUAAGUCAGUUGUGAAAGUUUGCGGCUCAACCGUAAAAUUGCAGUUGAUACUGGAUAUCUUGAGUGCAGUUGAGGCAGGCGGAAUUCGUGGUGUAGCGGUGAAAUGCUUAGAUAUCACGAAGAACUCCGAUUGCGAAGGCAGCCUGCUAAGCUGCAACUGACAUUGAGGCUCGAAAGUGUGGGUAUCAAACAGGAUUAGAUACCCUGGUAGUCCACACGGUAAACGAUGAAUACUCGCUGUUUGCGAUAUACAGCAAGCGGCCAAGCGAAAGCGUUAAGUAUUCCACCUGGGGAGUACGCCGGCAACGGUGAAACUCAAAGGAAUUGACGGGGGCCCGCACAAGCGGAGGGACAUGUGGUUUAAUUCGAUGAUACGCGAGGAACCUUACCCGGGCUUAAAUUGCAGAUGAAUUACGGUGAAAGCCGUAAGCCGCAAGGCAUCUGUGAAGGUGCUGCAUGGUUGUCGUCAGCUCGUGCCGUGAGGUGUCGGCUUAAGUGCCAUAACGAGCGCAACCCUUGUUGUCAGUUACUAACAGGUUCCGCUGAGGACUCUGACAAGACUGCCAUCGUAAGAUGUGAGGAAGGUGGGGAUGACGUCAAAUCAGCACGGCCCUUACGUCCGGGGCUACACACGUGUUACAAUGGGGGGUACAGAGGGCCGCUACCACGCGAGUGGAUGCCAAUCCCCAAAACCUCUCUCAGUUCGGACUGGAGUCUGCAACCCGACUCCACGAAGCUGGAUUCGCUAGUAAUCGCGCAUCAGCCACGGCGCGGUGAAUACGUUCCCGGGCCUUGUACACACCGCCCGUCAAGCCAUGGGAGCCGGGGGUACCUGAAGUGCGUAACCGCGAGGAGCGCCCUAGGGUAAAACUGGUGACUGGGGCUAAGUCAU